CUUGCCCCUCAAGGCAUUAUGUCUGUGGCUGCUGUGUCACAUGUGUGUCAGUAGGUGGCAGAGAGGAGAGAGGCUAUGUCUAUGCUCAGUGUCCUGACCUGUGACCAUCUGAGUGAUUAGUAACCUAACAGU
This is a small nucleolar RNA of Apodemus sylvaticus (European woodmouse), 132 nucleotides long. RefSeq annotates it as small nucleolar RNA SNORA17. The record is from RefSeq and is a predicted model, not a curated record. The transcript has a single exon. NCBI's taxonomy places the organism in Eukaryota, Metazoa, Chordata, Mammalia, Rodentia, Muridae.